Molecule: small RNA, 18 nt
Filed under: Arabidopsis thaliana (thale cress)
Lineage: Eukaryota; Viridiplantae; Streptophyta; Magnoliopsida; Brassicales; Brassicaceae
Description: ATSL080640
Source: RNAcentral
GAAGACGACGACGACGAU